UUAAGCGACUAAGCGUACACGGUGGAUGCCCUGGCAGUCAGAGGCGAUGAAGGACGUGCUAAUCUGCGAAAAGCGUCGGUAAGGUGAUAUGAACCGUUAUAACCGGCGAUGUCCGAAUGGGGAAACCCAGUGUGAUUCGUCACACUAUCGUUAACUGAAUACAUAGGUUAACGAGGCGAACCGGGGGAACUGAAACAUCUAAGUACCCCGAGGAAAAGAAAUCAACCGAGAUUCCCCCAGUAGCGGCGAGCGAACGGGGAGCAGCCCAGAGUCUGAAUCAGCUUGUGUGUUAGUGGAACGGUCUGGAAAGUCCGACGGUACAGGGUGAUAGUCCCGUACACCAAAAUGCACAGGCUGUGAACUCGAAGAGUAGGGCGGGACACGUGGUAUCCUGUCUGAAUAUGGGGGGACCAUCCUCCAAGGCUAAAUACUCCUGACUGACCGAUAGUGAACCAGUACCGUGAGGGAAAGGCGAAAAGAACCCCGGCGAGGGGAGUGAAAAAGAACCUGAAACCGUGUACGUACAAGCAGUGGGAGCACCUUCGGGUGUGACUGCGUACCUUUUGUAUAAUGGGUCAGCGACUUAUAUUCUGUAGCAAGGUUAACCGUAUAGGGGAGCCGCAGGGAAACCGAGUCUUAACUGGGCGUUAAGUUGCAGGGUAUAGACCCGAAACCCGGUGAUCUAGCCAUGGGCAGGUUGAAGGUUGGGUAACACUAACUGGAGGACCGAACCGACUAAUGUUGAAAAAUUAGCGGAUGACUUGUGGCUGGGGGUGAAAGGCCAAUCAAACCGGGAGAUAGCUGGUUCUCCCCGAAAGCUAUUUAGGUAGCGCCUCGUGAACUCAUCUUCGGGGGUAGAGCACUGUUUCGGCUAGGGGGUCAUCCCGACUUACCAACCCGAUGCAAACUACGAAUACCGAAGAAUGUUAUCACGGGAGACACACGGCGGGUGCUAACGUCCGUCGUGAAGAGGGAAACAACCCAGACCGCCAGCUAAGGUCCCAAAGUCAUGGUUAAGUGGGAAACGAUGUGGGAAGGCACAGACAGCCAGGAUGUUGGCUUAGAAGCAGCCAUCAUUUAAAGAAAGCGUAAUAGCUCACUGGUCGAGUCGGCCUGCGCGGAAGAUGUAACGGGGCUAAACCAUGCACCGAAGCUGCGGCAGCGACACUAUGUGUUGUUGGGUAGGGGAGCGUUCUGUAAGCCUGCGAAGGUGUGCUGUGAGGCAUGCUGGAGGUAUCAGAAGUGCGAAUGCUGACAUAAGUAACGAUAAAGCGGGUGAAAAGCCCGCUCGCCGGAAGACCAAGGGUUCCUGUCCAACGUUAAUCGGGGCAGGGUGAGUCGACCCCUAAGGCGAGGCCGAAAGGCGUAGUCGAUGGGAAACAGGUUAAUAUUCCUGUACUUGGUGUUACUGCGAAGGGGGGACGGAGAAGGCUAUGUUAGCCGGGCGACGGUUGUCCCGGUUUAAGCAUGUAGGCUGGUUAUCCAGGCAAAUCCGGAUAAUCAAGGCUGAGGUGUGAUGACGAGGCACUACGGUGCUGAAGUAACAAAUGCCCUGCUUCCAGGAAAAGCCUCUAAGCAUCAGGUAACAUUAAAUCGUACCCCAAACCGACACAGGUGGUCAGGUAGAGAAUACCAAGGCGCUUGAGAGAACUCGGGUGAAGGAACUAGGCAAAAUGGUGCCGUAACUUCGGGAGAAGGCACGCUGGUGUGUAGGUGAAGUCCCUGCGGAUGGAGCUGAGACCAGUCGAAGAUACCAGCUGGCUGCAACUGUUUAUUAAAAACACAGCACUGUGCAAACACGAAAGUGGACGUAUACGGUGUGACGCCUGCCCGGUGCCGGAAGGUUAAUUGAUGGGGUUAUCCGUAAGGAGAAGCUCUUGAUCGAAGCCCCGGUAAACGGCGGCCGUAACUAUAACGGUCCUAAGGUAGCGAAAUUCCUUGUCGGGUAAGUUCCGACCUGCACGAAUGGCGUAAUGAUGGCCAGGCUGUCUCCACCCGAGACUCAGUGAAAUUGAACUCGCUGUGAAGAUGCAGUGUACCCGCGGCAAGACGGAAAGACCCCGUGAACCUUUACUAUAGCUUGACACUGAACAUUGAGCCUUGAUGUGUAGGAUAGGUGGGAGGCUUUGAAGCGUGGACGCCAGUCUGCGUGGAGCCAACCUUGAAAUACCACCCUUUAAUGUUUGAUGUUCUAACGUUGGCCCCUUACCGGGGUUGCGGACAGUGUCUGGUGGGUAGUUUGACUGGGGCGGUCUCCUCCCAAAGCGUAACGGAGGAGCACGAAGGUUAGCUAAUCCUGGUCGGACAUCAGGAGGUUAGUGCAAUGGCAUAAGCUAGCUUGACUGCGAGCGUGACGGCGCGAGCAGGUGCGAAAGCAGGUCAUAGUGAUCCGGUGGUUCUGAAUGGAAGGGCCAUCGCUCAACGGAUAAAAGGUACUCCGGGGAUAACAGGCUGAUACCGCCCAAGAGUUCAUAUCGACGGCGGUGUUUGGCACCUCGAUGUCGGCUCAUCACAUCCUGGGGCUGAAGUAGGUCCCAAGGGUAUGGCUGUUCGCCAUUUAAAGUGGUACGCGAGCUGGGUUUAGAACGUCGUGAGACAGUUCGGUCCCUAUCUGCCGUGGGCGCUGGAGAAUUGAGGGGGGCUGCUCCUAGUACGAGAGGACCGGAGUGGACGCAUCACUGGUGUUCGGGUUGUCAUGCCAAUGGCACUGCCCGGUAGCUAAAUGCGGAAGAGAUAAGUGCUGAAAGCAUCUAAGCACGAAACUUGCCCCGAGAUGAGUUCUCCCUGAGACUUUAAGUCUCCUGAAGGAACGUUGAAGACGACGACGUUGAUAGGCCGGGUGUGUAAGCGCAGCGAUGCGUUGAGCUAACCGGUACUAAUGAACCGUGAGGCUUAACCUU
This 2900-nucleotide ribosomal RNA is filed under the name Klebsiella pneumoniae. Its description in RNAcentral is "bacterial LSU rRNA". It matches the Rfam family "Bacterial large subunit ribosomal RNA". The record is from RNAcentral. Lineage: Bacteria; Pseudomonadati; Pseudomonadota; Gammaproteobacteria; Enterobacterales; Enterobacteriaceae.